Molecule: ribosomal RNA, 585 nt
Filed under: uncultured Gammaproteobacteria bacterium
Lineage: Bacteria; Pseudomonadati; Pseudomonadota; Gammaproteobacteria
Description: bacterial SSU rRNA
Rfam family: Bacterial small subunit ribosomal RNA
Source: RNAcentral
CUACGGGAGGCAGCAGUGGGGAAUAUUGCACAAUGGGCGCAAGCCUGAUGCAGCAAUGCCGCGUGUGUGAAGAAGGCCUGCGGGUUGUAAAGCACUUUUAUUAGGAAAGAAAAACCCGGAGCUAAUACCUCCGGCAUUGACGGUACCUAAAGAAUAAGCACCGGCUAACUCAGUGCCAGCAGCCGCGGUAAUACUGAGGGUGCAAGCGUUAAUCGGAAUUACUGGGCGUAAAGCGAGUGUAGGCGGUUACUUAAGUCGGAUGUGAAAGCCCCGGGCUCAACCUGGGAAUUGCAUUCGAUACUGGGUAGCUAGAGUUUGGUAGAGGUAAGUGGAAUUCCGGGUGUAGCGGUGAAAUGCGUAGAUAUCCGGAGGAACAUCAGUGGCGAAGGCGGCUUACUGGACCAAAACUGACGCUGAGGCUCGAAAGCGUGGGGAGCAAACAGGAUUAGAUACCCUGGUAGUCCACGCCCUAAACGAUGUCAACUAGACGUUGGGUUCAUUAAUGAACUUAGUGUCGCAGCUAACGCGUUAAGUUGACCGCCUGGGGAGUACGGCCGCAAGGUUGAAACUCAAAUGAAUUGACGG